RNAcentral lists this ribosomal RNA (418 nucleotides) under Vibrio sp. KR10-06. RNAcentral's name for it is "partial 16S ribosomal RNA". It matches the Rfam family "Bacterial small subunit ribosomal RNA", at positions 1030 to 1450 of the family's 1533-position model. The record is from RNAcentral. Lineage: Bacteria; Pseudomonadati; Pseudomonadota; Gammaproteobacteria; Vibrionales; Vibrionaceae.
UGAGACAGGUGCUGCANGGCUNUCGUCAGCUCGUGUUGUGAAAUGUUGGGAUAANUNNCGCAACGAGCGCAAGCCUUAUCCUUGUUUNCCAGCACUUCGGGUGGGAACUCCAGGGAGACUGCCGGUGAUAAACCGGAGGAAGGUGGGGACGACGUCAAGUCAUCAUGGCCCUUACGAGUAGGGCUACACACGUGCUACAAUGGCGCAUACAGAGGGCANNCAACUUGCGAAAGUGAGCGAAUCCCAAAAAGUGCGUCGUAGUCCGGAUUGGAGUCUGCAACUCGACUCCAUGAAGUCGGAAUCGCUAGUAAUCGUGGAUCAGAAUGCCACGGUGAAUACGUUCCCGGGCCUUGUACACACCGCCCNUCACACCAUGGGAGUGGGCUGCAAAAGAAGUGGGUAGUUAACCUCGGGNGAC